RNAcentral lists this ribosomal RNA (198 nucleotides) under uncultured Serratia sp. RNAcentral describes it as "partial 16S ribosomal RNA". It matches the Rfam family "Bacterial small subunit ribosomal RNA", at positions 335 to 525 of the family's 1533-position model. The record is from RNAcentral. Lineage: Bacteria; Pseudomonadati; Pseudomonadota; Gammaproteobacteria; Enterobacterales; Yersiniaceae.
ACUCCUACGGGAGGCAGCAGUAGGGAAUAUUCGGGCAAUGGACGGAAGUCUGACCCAGCCAUGCCGCGUGCAGGAAGAAGGAAUUCUGGGUUGUAACACUGCUUUUAUCUAGGAAGAGAAACGCCCAUGCGUGGGAAGACUGACGGUACUAGAUGAAUACCAGCACCGGCUAACUCCGUGCCAGCAGCCGCGGUAAUA